CUCCUCACUAUGUGGGCAGGGGAAGCCGUCAUUUCGGAGCACCAAAGCCGUCACAGGGGAUAACUGCUUUUGUUGAUAGACAAAGAGGCAUCGAUAUUUCCAGAUCGCCCAGCAAAUAAAGCUAAUCAAGCCAUUCUCGCAGGAUAUUUUGCAUGGAGAACAGUUUCUUCUUAUCCAGAAACUGAUAACAUCUUACAGCAGGCUUCUACCGAUGAGAGUGUAUCAUCAAGAACAGAUGAAGGAUAUAAUUUCAGAAUGAUGAUGCAGACUGGCUUCUGGGUAUUCACUGACAUGGGCGAGUGGGAGAUACUAGUGGAGGAAUAUCCACAAGAUGAAAGAAGAGAAAGUAACAAGCUGCUAAUUCUCACUUCUUGUUUUCUUUCUUUUAAUCAACGGAUGCAAAUCUUCUGGAAUUCUUCGUUUCCUGAUUCUACUUGUUUAGAAAGGAAGCCAAUGGACUUCUACUUCCAUGAAAACAGGCCUUAUGUAUUGGAAGACUGAACUUUUGCACAUAACAAUACUUACAGCAGCCAGUUGAUGCAGAUU
Long non-coding RNA from Rosa rugosa (rugosa rose), 546 nucleotides. RefSeq lists it as uncharacterized. The transcript has 3 exons. NCBI's taxonomy places the organism in Eukaryota, Viridiplantae, Streptophyta, Magnoliopsida, Rosales, Rosaceae. The record is from RefSeq and is a predicted model, not a curated record.